RNAcentral lists this ribosomal RNA (225 nucleotides) under Salmonella enterica subsp. enterica serovar Infantis. RNAcentral's name for it is "partial 23S ribosomal RNA". It matches the Rfam family "Bacterial large subunit ribosomal RNA", at positions 1125 to 1348 of the family's 2925-position model. The record is from RNAcentral. Lineage: Bacteria; Pseudomonadati; Pseudomonadota; Gammaproteobacteria; Enterobacterales; Enterobacteriaceae.
AAAGAAAGCGCAAUAGCUCACUGGUCGAGUCGGCCUGCGCGGAAGAUGUAACGGGGCUAAACCAUGCACCGAAGCUGCGGCAGCGACACUCAGGUGUUGUUGGGUAGGGGAGCGUUCUGUAAGCCUGUGAAGGUGUGUCGUGAGGCAUGCUGGAGGUAUCAGAAGUGCGAAUGCUGACAUAAGUAACGAUAAAGCGGGUGAAAAGCCCGCUCGCCGGAAGACCAA